Brassica oleracea var. oleracea is the source of this 416-nucleotide long non-coding RNA. RefSeq lists it as uncharacterized. NCBI's taxonomy places the organism in Eukaryota, Viridiplantae, Streptophyta, Magnoliopsida, Brassicales, Brassicaceae. The record is from RefSeq and is a predicted model, not a curated record. The transcript is spliced from 2 exons.
AAUUAACGUGUGACGUCGCGUUAACAGUUUUGAUCUGAUUUCUUCUUCUUCAUCAAUUGGCUUCUUCUUCUUCAUCGCAGACACUCCCAAAUAAUUCUUCACCUAACUUACAGAACAAAGAUAAGCUUGACCUUGGCGAUCUUGGGAGAACUAUCUCAGGCAACAAAAUGGAAGCUUCACAAGCUAAUAACUCUGAAGAAACUAAAGUCCGAGAUCGUGACGUCUAUGUAAUUUCAAAAGACAAGGCCGAGAAGCAACAAAUGAUUCUCCACAGACAACACUAUAGUUUAGAAGUUUAUGUAUGGUUUACAUUAUAGUUUACAAGUUUAGGUGAGAACAACACUAUAGUUUACAAGUUUAUGUAUAGUUUAAUAGUUAAUAACUAUUUUUAUAUAACCACAAGUUUUAUUACAGAA